AGUGAACGCUGGCGGUAGGCCUAACACAUGCAAGUCGAACGGCAGCACAGUAAGAGCUUGCUCUUACGAGUGGCGAGUGGCGGACGGGUGAGGAAUACAUCGGAAUCUACUUUUUCGUGGGGGAUAACGUAGGGAAACUUACGCUAAUACCGCAUACGACCUACGGGUGAAAGCAGGGGAUCUUCGGACCUUGCGCGAUUGAAUGAGCCGAUGUCGGAUUAGCUAGUUGGCGGGGUAAAGGCCCACCAAGGCGACGAUCCGUAGCUGGUCUGAGAGGAUGAGCAGCCACACUGGAACUGAGACACGGUCCAGACUCCUACGGGAGGCAGCAGUGGGGAAUAUUGGACAAUGGGCGCAAGCCUGAUCCAGCCAUACCGCGUGGGUGAAGAAGGCCUUCGGGUUGUAAAGCCCUUUUGUUGGGAAAGAAAAGCAGCAGGUUAAUACCCCGCUGUUCUGACGGUACCCAAAGAAUAAGCACCGGCUAACUUCGUG
RNAcentral lists this ribosomal RNA (492 nucleotides) under uncultured bacterium. Its description in RNAcentral is "partial 16S ribosomal RNA". It matches the Rfam family "Bacterial small subunit ribosomal RNA", at positions 29 to 507 of the family's 1533-position model. The record is from RNAcentral.